Molecule: ribosomal RNA, 726 nt
Filed under: Bacillus sp. PSu5_17
Lineage: Bacteria; Bacillati; Bacillota; Bacilli; Caryophanales; Bacillaceae
Description: bacterial SSU rRNA
Rfam family: Bacterial small subunit ribosomal RNA
Source: RNAcentral
UACAUGCAGUCGAGCGGACCGACGGGAGCUUGCUCCCUUAGGUCAGCGGCGGACGGGUGAGUAACACGUGGGUAACCUGCCUGUAAGACUGGGAUAACUCCGGGAAACCGGGGCUAAUACCGGAUGCUUGAUUGAACCGCAUGGUUCAAUCAUAAAAGGCGGCUUCGGCUGCCGUUUACAGAUGGACCCGCGGCGCAUUAGCUAGUUGGUGAGGUAACGGCUCACCAAGGCGACGAUGCGUAGCCGACCUGAGAGGGUGAUCGGCCACACUGGGACUGAGACACGGCCCAGACUCCUACGGGAGGCAGCAGUAGGGAAUCUUCCGCAAUGGACGAAAGUCUGACGGAGCAACGCCGCGUGAGUGAUGAAGGUUUUCGGAUCGUAAAGCUCUGUUGUUAGGGAAGAACAAGUACCGUUCGAAUAGGGCGGUACCUUGACGGUACCUAACCAGAAAGCCACGGCUAACUACGUGCCAGCAGCCGCGGUAAUACGUAGGUGGCAAGCGUUGUCCGGAAUUAUUGGGCGUAAAGCGCGCGCAGGCGGUUUCUUAAGUCUGAUGUGAAAGCCCCCGGCUCAACCGGGGAGGGUCAUUGGAAACUGGGGAACUUGAGUGCAGAAGAGGAGAGUGGAAUUCCACGUGUAGCGGUGAAAUGCGUAGAGAUGUGGAGGAACACCAGUGGCGAAGGCGACUCUCUGGUCUGUAACUGACGCUGAGGCGCGAAAGCG